GGCUCCUACGGGGGGCAGCAGUGAGGAAUAUUGGUCAAUGGGCGGGAGCCUGAACCAGCCAAGUCGCGUGAGGGAUGACGGUCCUACGGAUUGUAAACCUCUUUUGCCGGGGAGCAAGCGUGCGUUCGUGAACGCGCGUCGAGAGUACCCGGAGAAAAAGCAUCGGCUAACUCCGUGCCAGCAGCCGCGGUAAUACGGAGGAUGCGAGCGUUCUCCGGAUUUAUUGGGUUUAAAGGGUGCGUAGGCGGAUCGUUAAGUCAGUGGUCAAAUUGAGGGGCUCAACCCCUUCCCGCCAUUGCAACUGG
RNAcentral lists this ribosomal RNA (305 nucleotides) under uncultured bacterium. RNAcentral describes it as "bacterial SSU rRNA". It matches the Rfam family "Bacterial small subunit ribosomal RNA", at positions 334 to 636 of the family's 1533-position model. The record is from RNAcentral.